UACGUAGGGUGCGAGCGUUAAUCGGAAUUACUGGGCGUAAAGCGUGCGCAGGCGGUUUUGUAAGCCAGGUGUGAAAUCCCCGAGCUCAACCUGGGAAUGGCAUUUGGGACUGCAAGGCUGGAGUGCGGCAGAGGAGACUGGAAUUCCUGGUGUAGCAGUGAAAUGCGUAGAUAUCAGGAGGAAUACCGAUGGCGAAGGCAGGUCUCUGGGCUGACACUGACGCUCAUGCACGAAAGCGUGGGGAGCAACAGG
RNAcentral lists this ribosomal RNA (252 nucleotides) under uncultured bacterium. RNAcentral describes it as "partial 16S ribosomal RNA". It matches the Rfam family "Bacterial small subunit ribosomal RNA", at positions 524 to 775 of the family's 1533-position model. The record is from RNAcentral.